CUGUCAAUAUUCUUGCUGUUCUGAUUUUUUUAAAUAAUCUGGACAGGCUAAACACUAUAAUAAGGUCAUUCGUGUGUUCCCAGAUUUAGUUCUUUAUCUACAUAGGUCUAGUCUUGCUAAUUUAAAAAAAAA
This is a small nucleolar RNA of Sorex fumeus (smoky shrew), 132 nucleotides long. RefSeq annotates it as small nucleolar RNA SNORA72. The record is from RefSeq and is a predicted model, not a curated record. NCBI's taxonomy places the organism in Eukaryota, Metazoa, Chordata, Mammalia, Eulipotyphla, Soricidae. The transcript has a single exon.